GGUAACACUAACUGGAGGACCGAACCGACUAAUGUUGAAAAAUUAGCGGAUGACCUGUGGCUGGGGGUGAAAGGCCAAUCAAACCGGGAGAUAGCUGGUUCUCCCCGAAAGCUAUUUAGGUAGCGCCUCGUGAAUUCAUCUCCGGGGGUAGAGCACUGUUUCGGCUAGGGGGCCAUCCCGGCUUACCAACCCGAUGCAAACUGCGAAUACCGGAGAAUGUUAUCACGGGAGACACACGGCGGGUGCUAACGUCCGUCGUGAAGAGGGAAACAACCCAGACCGCCAGCUAAGGUCCCAAAGUCAUGGUUAAGUGGGAAACGAUGUGGGAAGGCCCAGACAGCCAGGAUGUUGGCUUAGAAGCAGCCAUCAUUUAAAGAAAGCGUAAUAGCUCACUGGUCGAGUCGGCCUGCGCGGAAGAUGUAACGGGGCUAAACCAUGCACCGAAGCUGCGGCAGCGACACUGUGUGUUGUUGGGUAGGGGAGCGUUCUGUAAGCCUGCGAAGGUGUCCCGUGAGGGAUGCUGGAGGUAUCAGAAGUGCGAAUGCUGACAUAAGUAACGAUAAAGCGGGUGAAAAGCCCGCUCGCCGGAAGACCAAGGGUUCCUGUCCAACGUUAAUCGGGGCAGGGUGAGUCGACCCCUAAGGCGAGGCCGAAAGGCGUAGUCGAUGGGAAACGGGUUAAUAUUCCCGUACUUGGUGUUACUGCGAAGGGGGGACGGAGAAGGCUAUGUUGGCCGGGCGACGGUUGUCCCGGUUUAAGCGUGUAGGUGUGUGUUCCAGGUAAAUCCGGUUCACUUUAACACUGAGGCGUGACGACGAGGCACUACGGUGCUGAAGCAACAAAUGCCCUGCUUCCAGGAAAAGCCUCUAAGCAUCAGGUAACAUCAAAUCGUACCCCAAACCGACACAGGUGGUCAGGUAGAGAAUACCAAGGCGCUUGAGAGAACUCGGGUGAAGGAACUAGGCAAAAUGGUGCCGUAACUUCGGGAGAAGGCACGCUGACACGUAGGUGAAGUGAUUUACUCAUGGAGCUGAAGUCAGUCGAAGAUACCAGCUGGCUGCAACUGUUUAUUAAAAACACAGCACUGUGCAAACACGAAAGUGGACGUAUACGGUGUGACGCCUGCCCGGUGCCGGAAGGUUAAUUGAUGGGGUCAGCGCAAGCGAAGCUCCUGAUCGAAGCCCCGGUAAACGGCGGCCGUAACUAUAACGGUCCUAAGGUAGCGAAAUUCCUUGUCGGGUAAGUUCCGACCUGCACGAAUGGCGUAAUGAUGGCCAGGCUGUCUCCACCCGAGACUCAGUGAAAUUGAACUCGCUGUGAAGAUGCAGUGUACCCGCGGCAAGACGGAAAGACCCCGUGAACCUUUACUAUAGCUUGACACUGAACAUUGAGCCUUGAUGUGUAGGAUAGGUGGGAGGCUUUGAAGUGUGGACGCCAGUCUGCAUGGAGCCGACCUUGAAAUACCACCCUUUAAUGUUU
Molecule: ribosomal RNA, 1479 nt
Filed under: Salmonella enterica subsp. enterica serovar Kentucky
Lineage: Bacteria; Pseudomonadati; Pseudomonadota; Gammaproteobacteria; Enterobacterales; Enterobacteriaceae
Description: partial 23S ribosomal RNA
Rfam family: Bacterial large subunit ribosomal RNA
Source: RNAcentral